This is a non-coding RNA of Zonotrichia albicollis (white-throated sparrow), 2388 nucleotides long. The record is from RefSeq and is a predicted model, not a curated record. Lineage: Eukaryota; Metazoa; Chordata; Aves; Passeriformes; Passerellidae.
CACCAUCAUCGCCUCGUGGCAGUUCCUGGUCUGAACUGGCAGGUUUUCUCUUGAUUCUGGACCUCUGGAGAAGGAAAUGACUGUGGAAACAAGCAUGAGCAAAGGCCCUGAACUCUGAAUAUGUAUUAUCCAAUGGUACCCACCUUCCCUUGCAGUCCAGGAACAAAUGUGUGACCUUGGUUUGACAGCUGCUGUUUGUUUUCCAGUCAACCAAAGCUUGCAGUAAGGAUUUCUCAGGACAAUUUGAAAAUUAGAUUAAAAGUGGAAGACCAAUGGUAUCUUUUUACCUUGGAAUCCAUUGUCUGUAGCUUUUCUUUCUUGAAUUCCUGGGUGAGUGAUCUAGAGGCAAAGAUUAUUUUCUAAUAAUCUUUGACUUCUUUACCUGCUUUCUAGCUAAAAAUGCACCUUGUAACAUGCAAAGCCUUGCAGACUGGUUUUGGUGUGAAAGUGUAUUUGAGAAGAGACUGGAAACUGUUUCCACAAGUGAAAAAACUGAUUUACACUUAAACAGAGAGUUUAUUCAGAAAGGAAGUUUACCUAGGGUAAAUGCUGGGUGGGAAUGUUCUUUGAAAGGAUGUUAAUUGUACCUUGGUUCAAAGAACUCCUUGAAAUUCCUGUAAUGCAAUUAUGCUAAGUUAGAGGAAGUUAAAGGAUUGUGUAUUGGCAAAAAUGCAGUUAAAAUCCCAGCUGAAGUCAUGUGUCAGAAGUGCUAUUGAUGAUAACAUUGACACCUGCCUCAGAUAACUUCAAAGCCUGUGCUCUCUGUACGAACCUAAGUUCACUGAGCUCAGCUAGCAAAAGGACAAACCCAGACAGAGAAACCGGUCCAGACCUCCAAGAAGUGCAAAUGGAGCUAUGCCACUUAACAACAGCACAUCAAACCCCAGCUCAGCACCUUUUAACACAGAGGACACAAUGGUGAGCUCUACCAAAUGAAACCCAACAUCUGUGGACCUGCAGCUGUUCAUCACAGACAGAAAGGGAUCUCUGUGACUAUCUGCUUUCUCCAUGCUGGUAGGAAAAAUGAGAUUGCUCUGUGUGAGUUUCUGAGGAAAGACAGAGUAAAAAAGACAAGUUCCACAUGGGUUUCUGAAAGCACUGAGGUUCUAAGGUUUCUGAUGUCUUCUGGGCGUGAGUUCCACCCUUGUAGGGGGGCCUUCUUCAGACAGAAUGGCGGCAGGCUUUUUUUCUGUCCCACAAAGUACUUAGGAAAUAAUAAUGAAGUCUGAACUGAUGAAGGCACCCAGAACUUUACCUUUGGCAGGAAAACUCAUUGCUCUGUGUAUGACCCAGGGUUUUGUAAACUGCUGUUUAACAAAAAUGUUUAUGCAUUUUGAGUCUGCCUUGAUAAUUUCUCUCCUUUCAAACAUAAAUCCCAUAUUUGAUUAAUUGCUGCUCUGUUUGCCCAGUUCUGUGAAAUGACAAGCUAGGGAUGAGAAGCCCUAAGAUCACUCACCCUGUUGGGAUUUGGCUUCAAUAAGAGUGUCUUAGCAGAAGUCCAAAUAAUGGAAAUAUUAGUAAAUACAUUAUUAACCUUUUUAGGUUAAUAAUCCCUUUUUAGAGGAUUUCAGAUUUUAAAAAUAAGGUGGGAAAGGGCUAGAUUUUUCUGCCCAAAGCAAUUCUAAUUAUUUGGUUCAAUGUCUGCCCUGUCACAGAGGCUCUACGUUUGGAUUCUCGUCCUUUGAUUUCCCCCUCUGCACACAAACUGAAACAUUCAGUAGUUCCCACCUCAGUCACAACUAUAUUUUCCUUUUUUGAGGAAGUCAGGAGUGGGAAAGUUGCAGAGCAGUCUGGGUAUUCCAGAACUCAGUUUGGAGUUCCCCUGCAGGCGAGUAACAUAACAAGAUUUAGGACUACAGAGCUCUCCCAGCUCCUUUAGCAGAGAUGCAUCAAGCUUUGUCCCUCAAAUGCUAAGGAACCCAGGUCCUCACUCUCUAGAUUCAGUCUCUUUUUGGUACCCUCCUCAGCACUGAGUUCUGUCCAUAGCAUAACUUAAAGAGUGAGAGCCGUGGACUUCAUUUGAGGAAAUAAUGGAGGAUUUCAGAAUUUAGAAUUUUGCAAGGGAUAAUACUACUUCUUGCUCAUACUGUCUUGUGUGUGUACACACGCCAGAGGUGCUUCUGAUCUGUUAUUGAAAUGAAUUCUCAGUGAAAAAUCAUGUAAGUGUAGUGAAGAGGAGAAAAAACAUCACAAAUUCUCCUAUAGUGGAACUGAAAAAUAUGGAAUCAUAGAAUCCAGGUGACAAAAAUAGCUUAAUAUUUUAUGUAGUGCGCUGUGGUUAAUCCUUGUUCUCACAGUAUAUUUUAUUUAGAAUCACUGCAGAAUUCCUCUUCGGAUUUUUCUCCCUGAAAUUAGACUGUAAUGAUAUGCUUCAGACCUCACAGGAGC